AAGAGUGGGGACUGUGGAAAGUGAAAGCUGAAAGAAGAAGGAAUUCCUAUUAUCUAGAAAUAGAGACAUGAGACCGAGGGGAAGGAAGAGCUUGUUAAGGACAGAGGAGAUUAAGAAGCGCAAAGAAAGUUGGGACUUGAGAAGAGAUAGAAGGGGAUCAAUUCUCAGUUCUCGUGUUUGGAGAUUUCUGCAGGCAAGUAGCUCUCGGUUCUCAGUUUGGGGGAUGGACUGAGAGACUGAGGUGGCUAGGGUUCCGAUGCUUUAUUUUUGUUUUGAA
Molecule: unclassified non-coding RNA, 277 nt
Filed under: Hevea brasiliensis (rubber tree)
Lineage: Eukaryota; Viridiplantae; Streptophyta; Magnoliopsida; Malpighiales; Euphorbiaceae
Source: RNAcentral